Molecule: ribosomal RNA, 443 nt
Filed under: uncultured bacterium
Lineage: Bacteria
Description: partial 16S ribosomal RNA
Rfam family: Bacterial small subunit ribosomal RNA
Source: RNAcentral
CCUACGGGAGGCAGCAGUGGGGAAUAUUGGGCAAUGGGCGCAAGCCUGACCCAGCAACGCCGCGUGAAGGAAGAAGGCUUUCGGGUUGUAAACUUCUUUUCUCAGGGACGAAGAAAGUGACGGUACCUGAGGAAUAAGCCACGGCUAACUACGUGCCAGCAGCCGCGGUAAUACGUAGGUGGCAAGCGUUAUCCGGAUUUAUUGGGUGUAAAGGGCGUGUAGGCGGGAGCGCAAGUCAGAUGUGAAAACUCAGGGCUCAACCCUGAGCCUGCAUUUGAAACUGUGUUUCUUGAGUGCUGGGGAGGCAAUCGGAAUGCCGGGUGUAGCGGUGAAAUGCGUAGAUAUACGGAGGAACACCAGUGGCGAAGGCGGAUUGCUGGACAGUAACUGACGCUGAGGCGCGAAAGCGUGGGGAGCAAACAGGAUUAGAUACCCGAGUAGUC